GCGGCUGUAGCUCAGUGGUAGAGCGCAACCUUGCCAAGGUUGAAGUCGUGGGUUCGAAUCCCAUCAGCCGCUCCA
This 75-nucleotide transfer RNA is filed under the name Planctomycetota bacterium. RNAcentral's name for it is "tRNA-Gly". It matches the Rfam family "tRNA". From Rfam's summary of the family: Transfer RNA (tRNA) molecules are approximately 80 nucleotides in length. Their secondary structure includes four short double-helical elements and three loops (D, anti-codon, and T loops). RNAcentral also lists the same sequence under 1 other name. The record is from RNAcentral. Lineage: Bacteria; Pseudomonadati; Planctomycetota.